CAGCCGCCACGGUAACACGGAGGGUGCAAGCGUUAAUCGGAAUUACUGGGCGUAAAGCGCACGCAGGCGGUCUGUCAAGUCGGAUGUGAAAUCCCCGGGCUCAACCUGGGAACUGCAUCCGAAACUGGCAGGCUAGAGUCUUGUAGAGGGGGGUAGAAUUCCAGGUGUAGCGGUGAAAUGCGUAGAGAUCUGGAGGAAUACCGGUGGCGAAGGCGGCCCCCUGGACAAAGACUGACGCUCAGGUGCGAAAGCGUGGGGAGCAAACAGGAUUAGAUACCCCAGUAGUCCCUGUCUCUUAUAC
Molecule: ribosomal RNA, 301 nt
Filed under: uncultured bacterium
Lineage: Bacteria
Description: partial 16S ribosomal RNA
Rfam family: Bacterial small subunit ribosomal RNA
Source: RNAcentral